GGUGGAUCAUGUGGUUUAAUUCGCAGAGACGUGCAGCACCUUGCGAGGUCUUGACAUCCUUAGCCGCGGUGUAGAGAUACGCCUUUCCGUUCGGGGACAGGGGUGACAGUUGGUGCAUGGUGGUCGUCAGCUGAAAUAUUAAGAUAAUAGGUUACAUCCAGCACCAAGCGCAACCUUUGAUGUUAGUGACAGGUUCAGUUGGGCAAUGUAAGGUAAUUACAGGAGACAAACCGGAGGAAGGUGGGGAUGACGUCAAAUCAUCAUGCCCCUUAUGACCUGGGCUACACACGUCCUACAAUCAUAGAUACAAAGGGCUGCAAACCCGGGAGGGGGAGCCAAUCCCAGAAAUCUUGGAGCAGUUGGCAGGGUAGGCUGCAACUCUUUGCAUGAAGCAAAAAUCGCUAGUAAUCGUGGAUCAGCACCCCACUGUGAAUCGUUACCGAGCCAUGCCCAC
This 454-nucleotide ribosomal RNA is filed under the name uncultured bacterium. Its description in RNAcentral is "bacterial SSU rRNA". It matches the Rfam family "Bacterial small subunit ribosomal RNA", at positions 931 to 1388 of the family's 1533-position model. The record is from RNAcentral.